This 253-nucleotide ribosomal RNA is filed under the name uncultured bacterium. RNAcentral's name for it is "partial 16S ribosomal RNA". It matches the Rfam family "Bacterial small subunit ribosomal RNA", at positions 524 to 776 of the family's 1533-position model. The record is from RNAcentral.
UACGUAGGGACCAAGCGUUGUUCGGAUUUACUGGGCGUAAAGGGCGCGUAGGCGGCUUAACAAGUCACUUGUGAAAUCUCCGGGCUUAACCCGGAAAGGUCAGCCGAUACUGCGGGGCUAGAGUGCAGAAGGGGCAACUGGAAUUCUCGGUGUAGCGGUGAAAUGCGUAGAUAUCGAGAGGAACACCUGCGGCGAAGGCGGGUUGCUGGGCUGACACUGACGCUGAGGCGCGAAAGCGAGGGGAGCGAACGGG